GAGAAUGCCGGUGUGAGUAGCGAAAGACGGGUGAGAAUCCCGUCCACCGAUUGACUAAGGUUUCCAGAGGAAGGCUCGUCCGCUCUGGGUUAGUCGGGUCCUAAGCUGAGGCCGACAGGCGUAGGCGAUGGAUAACAGGUUGAUAUUCCUGUACCACCUAUAAUCGUUUUAAUCGAUGGGGGGACGCAGUAGGAUAGGCGAAGCGUGCGAUUGGAUUGCACGUCUAAGCAGUAAGGCUGAGUAUUAGGCAAAUCCGGUACUCGUUAAGGCUGAGCUGUGAUGGGGAGAAGACAUUGUGUCUUCGAGUCGUUGAUUUCACACUGCCGAGAAAAGCCUCUAGAUAGAAAAUAGGUGCCCGUACCGCAAACCGACACAGGUAGUCAAGAUGAGAAUUCUAAGGUGAGCGAGCGAACUCUCGUUAAGGAACUCGGCAAAAUGACCCCGUAACUUCGGGAGAAGGGGUGCUCUUUAGGGUUAACGCCCAGAAGAGCCGCAGUGAAUAGGCCCAAGCGACUGUUUAUCAAAAACACAGGUCUCUGCUAAACCGUAAGGUGAUGUAUAGGGGCUGACGCCUGCCCGGUGCUGGAAGGUUAAGAGGAGUGGUUAGCUUCUGCGAAGCUACGAAUCGAAGCCCCAGUAAACGGCGGCCGUAACUAUAACGGUCCUAAGGUAGCGAAAUUCCUUGUCGGGUAAGUUCCGACCCGCACGAAAGGCGUAACGAUUUGGGCACUGUCUCAACGAGAGACU
RNAcentral lists this ribosomal RNA (747 nucleotides) under Staphylococcus aureus. RNAcentral's name for it is "partial 23S ribosomal RNA". It matches the Rfam family "Bacterial large subunit ribosomal RNA", at positions 1290 to 2033 of the family's 2925-position model. Lineage: Bacteria; Bacillati; Bacillota; Bacilli; Caryophanales; Staphylococcaceae. The record is from RNAcentral.